Molecule: ribosomal RNA, 423 nt
Filed under: uncultured bacterium
Lineage: Bacteria
Description: bacterial SSU rRNA
Rfam family: Bacterial small subunit ribosomal RNA
Source: RNAcentral
UCUUCCGCAAUGGACGAAAGUCUGACGGAGCAACGCCGCGUGAGUGAUGAAGGCUUUCAGGUCGUAAAACUCUGUUGUUAGGGAAGAACAAGUGCUAGUUGAAUAAGCUGGCACCUUGACGGUACCUAACCAGAAAGCCACGGCUAACUACGUGCCAGCAGCCGCGGUAAUACGUAGGUGGCAAGCGUUAUCCGGAAUUAUUGGGCGUAAAGCGCGCGCAGGUGGUUUCUUAAGUCUGAUGUGAAAGCCCACGGCUCAACCGUGGAGGGUCAUUGGAAACUGGGGAACUUGAGUGCAGAAGAGGAGAGUGGAAUUCCAUGUGUAGCGGUGAAAUGCGUAGAUAUAUGGAGGAACACCAGUGGCGAAGGCGGCUCUCUGGUCUGUAACUGACGCUGGGACUCGAAAGCGUGGGGAGCAAACAGG